CUCGUCACCCGGAUCCCCGGGGCCGCAGUGACACUCGGAGAUCACUCUGGGUUCACUUAAAUAGGAGUACUCUCCCCUUUUCCGGGGAACCUGCAGAGUUUGGCAGCGGAAGGAAAGGUCUCCCACCACCCUCCCCCGGUACGAAACAGCGGUGAACUUGUUAGGCGCCCUGGUAUCUCAAGAGGGGCUUGCGAGUUGGUGUUCUGCUCAUUUCUGGCGCUGGUGCCGGAUUGAACAGGUACUUUCUAAACAAUAAACAUGUGACACUUGUUUAAUAAUCACAGCAACCAUGGAGUGGAUACUAUUAUCACCAUUUAAUAGAGGAGUGUGAUGAGAAGCCAUUAGAGGGUUGAGUGAAGGGAAAGGAUAUCCAACGAGAACCUCCUGCCCUGUGUCUCAUGAAGAGGCAGUAUUUCAAGAAGAGGCUUAAAGCUGAGAGUGUUUUGCUAAUCAGUGAAGAUGUGACUAAUGAGCUGCUGGGGAAGUCAAGCCUUCUAUGAGGAAGCCAAGGCCCAGCAGAGCUGAGAUGUGACUGCAGAGCCGUCCAACCCCAGUCCUGUGACCUUUCUCUGGUGCCUGAUACCUCUCAGCAUUUGAGGGCCUUUUCUCUUCCUGCUUCAUCUCUAAAGGUCCUUCUAGGAGAGAGGUGAAAGAUUUUAGAAAUCUUGAGCUGUGUCUUCAGUAUGCUGUCUGUGAAAUAAGGCUAUCAUUGCGUGGCAGCCAAGAUUUUC
This 731-nucleotide long non-coding RNA is filed under the name Homo sapiens (human). RNAcentral describes it as "non-protein coding lnc-FAM122A-1:1". The record is from RNAcentral. Lineage: Eukaryota; Metazoa; Chordata; Mammalia; Primates; Hominidae.